UAGGGAAUCUUCGGCAAUGGACGAAAGUCUGACCGAGCAACGCCGCGUGAGUGAAGAAGGUUUUCGGAUCGUAAAACUCUGUUGGUAGAGAAGAACGUUGGUGAGAGUGGAAAGCUCAUCAAGUGACGGUAACUACCCAGAAAGGGCGGCUAACUACGUGUCAG
This 164-nucleotide ribosomal RNA is filed under the name uncultured bacterium. RNAcentral's name for it is "partial 16S rRNA". It matches the Rfam family "Bacterial small subunit ribosomal RNA", at positions 355 to 511 of the family's 1533-position model. The record is from RNAcentral.